AACGAACGCUGGCGGCAUGCCUAACACAUGCAAGUCGAACGAGACCUUCGGGUCUAGGGGCGCACGGGUGCGUAACGCGGGGGAACCUGCCCUUAGGUUCGGAAUAACUCCCCGAAAGGGGUGCUAAUACCGGAUAAUGUCUUCGGACCAACGAUUUAUGGCUUUUGGAUGGGCCCGCGUUGGAUUAGCUAGUUGGUAGGGUAAAAGCCUACCAAGGCGACGAUCCAUAGCUGGUCGGAGAGGAUGAUCAGCCGCACUGGGACUGAGACACGGCCCAGACUCCUACGGGAGGCAGCAGUGUGGAAUAUUGGACAAUGGGCCAAAGCCCGACCCCGCAAUGCCGCGUGAGUGAUGCAGGCCUUAGGGUUGUAAAGCUCUUUUACCCGGGAUGAUAAUGACAGUACCGGGAGAAUAAGCACCGGCUAACUCCGUG
Molecule: ribosomal RNA, 433 nt
Filed under: uncultured bacterium
Lineage: Bacteria
Description: partial 16S ribosomal RNA
Rfam family: Bacterial small subunit ribosomal RNA
Source: RNAcentral